Molecule: ribosomal RNA, 321 nt
Filed under: uncultured Pseudomonadota bacterium
Lineage: Bacteria; Pseudomonadati; Pseudomonadota
Description: bacterial SSU rRNA
Rfam family: Bacterial small subunit ribosomal RNA
Source: RNAcentral
AUUGAACGCUGGCGGAAUGCUUUACACAUGCAAGUCGAGCGGCAGCAUGGACUUCGGUCUGAUGGCGAGCGGCGAACGGGUGAGUAACAUAUAGGAACAUACCUAGUAAUGGGGGAUAACGCCGAGAAAUCGGUGCUAAUACCGCAUACGCCCUGAGGGGGAAAGCGGGGGAUCUUCGGACCUCGCGUUAUUAGAUUGGCCUAUAUCUGAUUAGCUAGUUGGUGAGGUAAAGGCUCACCAAGGCGACGAUCAGUAGCUGGUCUGAGAGGAUGAUCAGCCACACUGGAACUGAGACACGGUCCAGACUCCUACGGGUGGCUG